ACCCGGAUUUUGUGCUUAUAAAACAUUUUAAGCGAUCAUUACUAAUUAUUUAUUGUUCUUUAAGAAAUUGUGUCAUUACUAAAUCAAAUUAGCUAUUUGCACUAAUCAGAAGAAAAAAUGAGUUUACUUAUCAUGUUAAGCAGGGACAACUCCCUUCCUUAUGUUUUUGUUAGAGAGGGGUGGGGCCUUGAUUGGCUGAGGUGACGUGAGCAAAACGCUCAGUGAGUGCCUGGAGCUUUUAGGAUGCUGGGUUACCGCGGAUUUUUGAAAAUCAACAUGACACGAUGGACCUUACGUUUGCAAAAAAGUGGAGUCUUAACCUGCAAUAAGGUGGGUCCUGCUGCGCUGGCCUGCACUUUUUACAGUAGAUCAGGUGUUCUUGUAGUUCAGCAGUGGGAAAGAACCUCAAGCAGGAAUUAGGUAACACUUUAUAACAACUACACACUAUAAAUCA
This is a long non-coding RNA of Danio aesculapii, 454 nucleotides long. RefSeq lists it as uncharacterized. The record is from RefSeq and is a predicted model, not a curated record. The transcript has 3 exons. NCBI's taxonomy places the organism in Eukaryota, Metazoa, Chordata, Actinopteri, Cypriniformes, Danionidae.